CCGGCGCACGGGUGAGUAACGCGUGUGCAACCUGCCCGGCACAGUGGGAUAAUCCGGAGAAAUCCGGUCUAAUACCGCAUGACGCGGGAAAGGCGCAUGCCUUUUCCGCCAAAGGAGGUGACUCCGGUGCCGGCUGGGCACGCGUGACAUUAGCUAGUUGGCGGGGCGACGGCCCACCAAGGCGACGAUGCGUAGGGGUUCUGAGAGGAAGGCCCCCCACACUGGGACUGAGACACGGCCCAGACUCCUACGGAAGGCAGCAG
This 263-nucleotide ribosomal RNA is filed under the name uncultured bacterium. Its description in RNAcentral is "partial 16S ribosomal RNA". It matches the Rfam family "Bacterial small subunit ribosomal RNA", at positions 95 to 354 of the family's 1533-position model. The record is from RNAcentral.